UGAGGAUAUAGCUCAGUUGGUGGAGUGCUUGCCUGCAUGCACAAGGCCCUGGGUUCAAUCCCCAGCACCACAA
RNAcentral lists this transfer RNA (73 nucleotides) under Marmota monax (woodchuck). RNAcentral describes it as "tRNA.Undet". Lineage: Eukaryota; Metazoa; Chordata; Mammalia; Rodentia; Sciuridae. The record is from RNAcentral.